Molecule: long non-coding RNA, 3892 nt
Organism: Panicum hallii
Lineage: Eukaryota; Viridiplantae; Streptophyta; Magnoliopsida; Poales; Poaceae
Exons: 6
Source: RefSeq, a predicted model, not a curated record
UGCGACGCGUUCAUCGCGGCGAGGCAAGACGAGACGCGGCGGCGGCGGAUCGGAGCUGGACUGUUUGUUGGGGGCGGAAGCGGAAGCUUGUGCUUGCGGAGUGGCAGCAAGCAUCCUAGGAUGACGCGCCUGGCAUAUAUGUACCAGAGCAGCUCCAUGGACUGGAGUCUGGAGGUGACAUUUUGAGUAGUACACACAACUAUCUGGUCCCCCCAAUUAACUAGUGAUUUUACACCAACAGUGACCCUGCAUUGCAGCAUCCAAUGCCCAGUGCCUGUGUGGAGUCGAUUUCUAGACGGGAUUUCAAGAUCGCUUGACAUGUGAAUCCUUUGUCUACCACCUUCUUACUGCUGUUGGUUAUGCAAAGUUACAAAUUUCAGAGUAUUGAUCUUUUUCUCCUCAUUUUGAUUUUACGAUCGUUUCUGCUUCUUGUUUGCUUUCCCUUGUCUAUCCUUUGGCAAUUGAAUGACUCCUUUGAAUCAUCUGUUAGAUGCUGGUCAUAGAGUCAGGAGGUCUGCGGCCUUCAGGGAGAAGAUGAAGUAGUGAGGGACAGAUCGAAGGGGACUUGUGAUCAGAUACUGCUAGUUUUAGGUGGCCUGGCCGCCACCUGGCUAGCAGAGACUUGAGGAUUCUUUUAAAAAAAACAUUUAACGAAGACUAUAAACUUGUUUAGCAGGGGGCCGUGCUUGUGAGCUGGAGAAAAAAACUUUCUCAUCAAUUAGCAUUUAGAUAAAUAAAAGUUCAGCGUGACAUCAGUUUGGCCUGCCUUUUGGACCAUGACAUACUCCCCGGUUCUACCUUUCUGCUUUGCAAAAAGCUAACUUGACUUCAUUUUUGUCUUAUUUUUUGGAUCAUGGUAUGCUGCCAUAGUUCUUUCUUUUUGACACUGCCCAAGUGCAAGUCCACCCAUACUUUCGAGACAUUCCUGCUUCUCUUUAGUUGUUAUAUAAUUACAACAAUGGACAGGUACCUUAAUUUCAGGAAGGAACCGCUAUAAGGUGAUGCAAUCCAUCCCGCAAAUUGUUACGUUUAGUGCAAUAUCACAUUUGGUCGUCUGUGCAAUGCUUUCCCAUAAGUCCUCUCACAAAGUUGCUUCCCAUAAAGUUUCCAAAUGUUCCUGAUCAUAUAAGCUCGUUCUAUACCUUAGCUGUUUUGUUAUUCCUUCAUCUAUCAUUAAGAUAAAGUCAGUCCAUUAACUGUUCCUUUUACUGGCUGCUAGACGCUGUACUUGUGUUAAGGUGGCACUGUCAAGCAUGGUGAAUGCAUUUGUACUUACUCUCUCCUUUAUCAUCAGUUCUUAGGUAUAUUUUCCUGUAGAUGCAAUUCUCUUUCAAGGUCAAUGCAAGGAUUCUGACCUCUAUUUUGGAAGGGUCAUACCUAUGAAUUUUGGUUUCUGUAUCAUGUCGUCAUUUGACCAUGGAAUCUUGCAACUAUUUCAAGAAACUAACAUAGGGAUAUGCUGUACAUGAACUGGAACCUUAGUACGAUGACUCGAUGAGUGAUGUUUUAGAAUUAUAUAACUAUCUAAAUGAACAGCACAAUUCUGAUUUUGCACGAGAUCAGUGCAAGAAAGUUGUGGAACCACCGCAAGUAGACAUGCCCCGUUUAAUCUCAUACUUAGUUUGUGCUGUCAUCCAAUAAUCCAUUUCCAAUUUCAUAGACAUGCAGUGAAAAGCAAAGCUAAUCUUUCUUGGGAAUCGUUAACUACCUUCUAAUUUCAGGUGAAGAGCUGAUAGUGGACAAGCAACGAAUAUACUGCAUAAUUAUGUUCAUAACUUCAUAUCAGUGUAAAAUGUGCACACCCACCUCAAAAACAAAAUUAAUGCGCAUAUGAUAAAAGCUGAUUAUGUCACAAAGUGGAGAAAGAGGUUACAGCUAUACUAUAUGGAUACUUUUGGUUUAAUUGCUGCUUAGAGCGGAAAGAGAUCAAAGGACACCACUCCACUACCCAUAGAACCCGGGCACUGCUCUCGAGAUGUUCUCUAAAGAACAAUUAUCUUGGUUAAUUAAAUAAUGACUAAAUAUGCAUAGCUUCAGUGUGAUGGACCCUUGCCAAUUUUGUAUUGGAGUUUCUAAUCAUUCCACAGUGCGCACCAAAGAACUGAUUCAUUUGUGUAGUCUACAACUCUAUAUUCGUAUUUCUUGAUUUUGCAGGUUUACAAUAGAAGUUGCCAAAAGGAGAGGGGCAAUUGUUUCUUGCAAGCUAGUUGAUGGAAAAUAGGCUAAUUCACAGUACAUCAGAGUGCAAUUUAUCACUAUCUAAUCAUUCCAUACUGUUGAUAAAUUCUUCUAUUCAUGUCUUGAUGAAGCAAGCAUAUGAUCUGGAUCGGUGUUCAAUGAUAUUUAUAUUGAAGAUUAAUAAUUUUGGUACAGAAUAAUUGAUUUUAAUCCAUGGUUUAUUUGGAAAUGAAAUGAUUGCAAGAUUUCUGUCUGGCAUUCGUUAAUUAGAUAUCUGAAGCUCAGCUGCUGCUCUGGAUUCUGAAGUUUAUUUUAUUUCUGGAAUUCUGCAUGUAAAAUGAGGACUUACCCGAUUAUAGCUCCUUGAGUUUGUAACUGAGAAGGUUUCUAUCGUUUUCUCAAGCAUGGCAAGGCUACAAAUCUGAAGAACAAAAAAUAUGUAUUAACCCUUCUAGCUUCAUAUUUGAACGGCAGUGGCAGAUGGGGCAUCUGUUUUCAGAAACACCGCAAGGUGGAGUCCAUAAUAUUUCAGCAGGUUCAUCGAUCAAUGGCGACGGGUGAGCAUUGUUCCUCAGCCUAGUCAAUCGGAGCAUGCAAGUAGUAAAACAAGCAGCCCUGCAACAGAAGUUCUACUUCCAAUGUAAAUCCCCUGCAAGAUCCAUUAUCUUCUACAGGAUCGGGAUCGGUAACGCAGCACUGGUUACUCAGAACAGCUCAUUUACCAAUGGGAAUUUGGAAGUGCAGGAAGUUUGUGGAUAUGCUCAAGGCAUGUUGCAUGGAGUGAAUGAUAGAACUUUUCAGAUUCAGUUUCUUCCAGCCAUACUGCAGAAGUCCAUUGAUCGAUGUAUCCUUUUAAUGCAACUGCACUCCAUUUCUUUCAAGUCUCAGCUCUUGUCAUUCUUCUGUUCUAGAACUUCAAACUUCAAUUGUGACCCUGCCAAACUUAAAACUGCAACCAAGCCCUUGCUUGCUGUCAAAAAAUGCUACUCUAACCGCCUGUUAAUUUAUCUUAUCCCCCGUGACUCACAGGCUUUCCAUGAAGUUACUUAACUGUCUUCCUGAUUUGAUGCGGCCGGUGUGGCGCUGCUCUGAUGUGAGGCACACCAUCUUUUCCUCUGAGCAUCAAAGCUGUUGCCGCCAUUAAAAAAAAGCUCUUGCAAAGCAAUUAGUCGUUGGUGUGUGUGAUCCCUACCCAAAAUUUUUUAAAACCUAACCCUCCAAUCCUACCAGUAACCUAGCAUUUAGCACCAGCAAUUACCCUGCACUAGAGGCCACAAAGAUGGACAGAGGUGUAUGCAGUGUUCAGCACUGACCUUGGAUCCAGAGAUUCUGCAGGCAAACAAACACGGCCUCCAUUGCUCCAUGACCUCAUCAAACUCUACGCUCUUUAACCUCCUCCUACCCCUCUCAAACAUAGCCUAUUUAGACCUUACUUUCUUGUUCUUACUGCUAACCUUUGGCCUCCCCCUUCCCCUGCAACUACAAGCAUAUAAAAACCUUGCACCAUCUCCCAUGGCCUCUCUUUCUCUCUCUUCGUCUUCCUCCUCUGUUUGUACUAGUCUUGCGACAUAAGCAAGACCAAGAUUUGGGGGGCAAUUAGCAGCAGUACAUUACAGUUCUACAGAACUAUUGUGUUCUUGGUCAUAUACUUACAAUUCAGUACAGGUGUGUUUGUGUAUGGGUCUUGGUGUUAUGAUGAGUAGAAGAAGCAAAU